RNAcentral lists this ribosomal RNA (440 nucleotides) under uncultured bacterium. RNAcentral's name for it is "partial 16S ribosomal RNA". It matches the Rfam family "Bacterial small subunit ribosomal RNA", at positions 338 to 795 of the family's 1533-position model. The record is from RNAcentral.
CCUACGGGAGGCAGCAGUAGGGAAUAUUGCACAAUGGGGGAAACCCUGAAGCAGCAACGCCGCGUGGAGGAUGAAGGUUUUCGGAUUGUAAACUCCUGUUGUUAGAGAAGAGAAUGACGGUAUCUAACGAAUAAUCACCGGCUAACUCCGUGCCAGCAGCCGAGGUAAUACGGAGGGUGCAAGCGUUAUUCGGAAUCACGGGGCGUAAAGGGCGCGUAGGCGGGAUAGCAAGUCAGGUGUGAAAUCCUCUGGCUUAACCGUAGAACUGCAUUUGAAACUGUUAUGCUAGAGUAUGGGAGAGGUAAGUGGAAUUCUUGGUGUAGAGGUGAAAUCCGUAGAGAUCAGGAGGAAUACUCAUUGCGAAGGCGACCUGCUAGAACGUAACUGACGCUGAUGCGCGAAAGCGUGGGGAGCAAACAGGAUUAGAUACCCGGGUAGUC